Molecule: long non-coding RNA, 406 nt
Organism: Anneissia japonica
Lineage: Eukaryota; Metazoa; Echinodermata; Crinoidea; Comatulida; Comatulidae
Exons: 3
Source: RefSeq, a predicted model, not a curated record
AUUUUUUCAGGAGAAUAAGGGAACCUCUAAGCCCAGGUACGAUUGUGUGGUACCUGGAUGCGGUGCCACAAGCUUGGUCCGCAUCGACAUGCAUCUGCAUAGACGUCAUGGAUUUACUACUGGCAGCGCUGAAUACAAAAAAUUCAGACAGCUGCAGACACAGAUGCAGCAAGAAAAAUGAUGUGCAAUGACUAAAAUGCAUGACACUCAUGCAGCCUCAACCAUAAGGCAUUACCUCAACUCAUUUGUUAAAUUCAUAAACUACGUAAGUGUGUAUGGACAGAACGUGAAGGUGUCGGCCGGCAUCCUUAUCAAAUGCAAAGAUGCGGCACAAGGGCUGGUAAGGUCGCUGCGGCGAAGAGCUCAAGCAGAACAUGUCAAGAAACAAAAGGAGAUUGCAGGUAAC